This 1148-nucleotide ribosomal RNA is filed under the name Oxytricha trifallax. RNAcentral describes it as "partial small subunit ribosomal RNA". The stretch from base 1 to 1016 matches the Rfam family "Bacterial small subunit ribosomal RNA", at positions 524 to 1533 of the family's 1533-position model. Lineage: Eukaryota; Ciliophora; Spirotrichea; Sporadotrichida; Oxytrichidae. The record is from RNAcentral.
GACGUUGACGGGGAAGCGUUAUUGAUCAUUACUAGGCGUAAAGUGUGACUAGACUGUUCAAGAAAUUAUAAAUAAAAACAAAGGUAUAACGUCGAAGUUUUAUAAUACCUUGAUACUAGAGAUUUAGGCAGAUUUACGAUAAGCAUAGUCUAGAGAUAAAAUUCAAAGAGACUGUAAGGAUCUUCAGAAGCCGCGGCGGUUUUUCAUCUAAAUCUGACGUCGAAUCACUAAAGCACGAGUAUCAAUCAGGAUUGGAGACCCUAGUAGUUCGUGCCCUGAAUCUAUGGACAUUUUGUAUAAAAAAUUUUUUUUAUGUAUAAGCUAACGCGUAAAUGUCUCGCCUGGGGAGUAAAGCUGCAAAGGUAAAACUUAAAAAGAUUGGCGGGAGUUUGUAUAAAUGGUGGAGCGUGUGGUUUAAUUCGACAGUCCACGUUUAAUCUUACCAACGUAUUUUAAAUUAUUAUCGUAAAAUUUGACUAGAACUACCGAAAUAAUUUAAGAUGGUACUGCAUGGCUGUCGUCAGUUUUUGUUGUAAAAUACAAUAUUAAGUUAUUAAACAAACGCAACCCUGUUAAUAAGUUUUAUUUAGAUUUUAAAUUAAAGAAACAACUGCUUAAUCUAACUCUAUAUUACUUAUUUUUUAUGGCAAAGCGGAUAAUUUUAAAUUUUUAUUUAAACAAAGAAUUAAUUAUUAAUUAAUUCUUUGUUUAAGUACGAAAAAUGUUCUGUUCUGAGGAAGCGAGGGAGAAGUCAAGUCAUUAUGGUCUAAAUAUGUUGGGCUACACACGCGCUACAAGGUCAAAAACAAUUAGAUGCGACAGCGAAAUCUGAAGCAAAUCUUUAAAAAUUGACAAAGUUCAGAUUGUAAACUGAAACUCGUUUGCAUGAAGAUGGAAUCAUUAGUAAUCGUAAAUUAGCAUGUUACGGUGAAUGAUAUAUCAAACUUUGCACACACCGCCCAUCACGCUCGAAGAGUCUUGUUGUUUGGGAAUUUGACGAUUUUAAAAACGAAAUUAAAGAGUAGAACAUUUUUUUUUUUUAUUAAUUUAAAAAAAAAAAGUGUUAUUUUUAAUUAUUUUAAGCUUUUCAUCGCUAAACGUUUUUUUUUUUGUGGGUUAAGGCCGACACGGCAAUUUGAGUGAAGUUG